Acinonyx jubatus (cheetah) is the source of this 6993-nucleotide long non-coding RNA. RefSeq lists it as uncharacterized. The record is from RefSeq and is a predicted model, not a curated record. Lineage: Eukaryota; Metazoa; Chordata; Mammalia; Carnivora; Felidae. The transcript has 3 exons.
CCUUUGGGGAUUGGCUCAGCUGAAGAAAGCCGCUCUGCCCAAGGGCGUGCCCCCUUCCCAGGGCGGCCGCACCCAACGGGACGGCUGAUGGGGGGUGUAGAGGCCCAACCCCCCGGUCCCAACUCCUGGCUUCAGAGCUCCUCAUGGGGCUGCCCGAGGCCUUUCUCGAACCUGCAUUGCAGCCCAACGUCUCCUUCCCCCACGCUGCUCCCCUUCCUUCCCUUCCAUGGCUGGUGGUCCCAGGAGCACUCCCUAAUAAACAUGCUGAUCUUUAUUUCAGAGCUGGCUUCUCAGCAAACCCGACCUGCCAUGCCCUCUUCUCUUGCCCCAACUGCCCCGCAUCCUGCCCAAGGCUGAGACCCGCUUCCCGCUUCCCCGGUGUGCUCAGGUCCAAUCCACCUUCCCUCCCCUUGAGCCUUGCUCCAUCACUCAUAUCCUCUCUCUUUCCCGAAGCUUCGGCCGCCCCCCACCCAUCACUUCCCCUCCGCAUGGAAACUGGAACAAAUAUCUCAACAAACACCUCCUGUGGCACAGAGCCCCCUUCCAGCUUCUGUUCUUUCUUGGCCUCCACAGUCUAAGCUUCUCCGCACAGUACAGUCUGAUGGCCGUUCUCUCCCCUCUUCAUUUCUAGGACGCUUGGCUCCCUCCACUUUCUUUACAUUCCUGGAAUGCUGUGAUCUCCAGAGCCCUGCCCUUAGCCUUCUUCUUCUUUCUUUAAAUUUAUCAUGAUCAUUUAAAAAAAGUUGGGGCGCCUGGGUGGCUCAGUAGGUUGAGCAUCCGACUUCGGCUCAGGUCACGAUCUCACUGUCCGUGAGUUCGAGCCCCGCGUCGGGCUCUGUGCUGACAGCUCAGAGCCCGGAGCCCGUUUCGGAUUCUGUGUCUCCCUCUCUCUCUGCCCCUCCCCUGUUCAUCUCUGUCUCUCCCUGUCUCAAAAAUAAAUAAAACGUUAAAAAAUAAAAUAAAAUAAAAAAAGCUUAUUUAUUUUGAGAGAGAGAGAAAGAGUGUGCAAGUGAGGGAGGGGCAGAGAGAGAGACGGAGAGAGAAUUCCAAGCAGGGUCUGCACUGUCAGCACAGAGCCUGACUCGGGGCUCAAACCCAUGAACCAUGACAUCAUGACCUGAGCCGAAAUCGAGAGUCGGACGCUCAACUGACUGAGCCACCCAGGCGCCCCAGCCCUCUUCUCUUCUUACUCAUGACCCCGGCUUCAACUACCCCCAUCUGCUGAAGGUGGCCAUCGUAUCUCCAGCCCAGACCUCUGCUGCUGGGUGAUAGCACUUUGAUAUCCAAGUGGCUAUUAGAUGUUCCCACAUCUUUAUACUAAAUACAGGAAAAAUGUUUCCACUCUUGCCUACAAGAUGGGGCUGAUGUAGUCUAGCAUCCAUGCCUCGCUCACACAGUUGUUCAAAGGGUUAAGCGAAAUGAUAGUUUUCAACUUAGAAUUCUGUGUAAAUAGAUAAGUUAUAAAAAUUAAAAAAAAAAAAGACAUUCCCACCUCGAUGGCCCACGAGGACCUCGCAGCCCCCAUAUCCACAACGGCUCUCAUCUCCACCCCAGCCUGUGUCCUCCCUGUGUUCCCACCUCACUGAAUGGUACCACCAGUGUCCCCAGUGACUCAAGCCAGAAAACUGGCACUGUUCUUGGCAUGACCUCUCUCCCUUGUCACCUGCUUCUCAACAAUGAUCAUGUUCUGUGGAUCCCACUUUCUCGAAGGUUCUCGAACCUCUCCUUUGUGCCCUCACUGACCAUGGCCUCGUUCAAGCUUUGUUGUUGUUGUUGUUGUUUUAGUUUAUUUGUUUAUUUGGGGAGAGAGUGAGCACGCACGCGUGAGCACUGUCAGCACAGAGCCCGAUGCGGGGCUCGAACUCACGAACCGUGAGAUCGUGACCUGAGCCGAAGUCGGGCGCUCAACCGACUGAGCCCCCCAGGCGCCCCCGGUUCCAGCUGUCGGCCCAUAAAGCCCAGAAGACUGCAACAGCGUCCUCAGCAGUCUCUCUGCCCUGACACCCACCCCCGCCCCCUCUGCUGCCAGAGCGGUGGUUCUUGGUCAUUUGGACCAUGGUGCUCCCCUGUUCGAAAUGCCUCAGUGGCCCCCUGUUGCCUUCAGAAUGAAGUAAAAACUCUCUUAAUUGGCACCUCUCGGAUCUGGCUGCCGCCUGCCUGACUCCAUCACCCCCCCCCACCCCCCCACCCCCACCUAGAGCUCUAUAUCCUGGCACAGCUGGGCUGCUUAAACUGCUGUGAACAUGCCUCAUUCUCCCAUGUCUCAAUGCCUCCUUUGUACAUGUCCUCUCUGGAAAGCCGCCUCAUUACCGCCCCCCCCCGUUACCCUUCCCUCCCCCGCCCCCCAUUUACUUGGCAAGAGUCCUUGCAAACUUUCCCGGCUCUUCGAGGCUAUCUCCGGCCCCCGCAUCUCCCCUCUUUUUACAGACAUCCGUUGGCCAUGUGGCACCUUCCUCACUGCCUCUCUUUCCGGGUCUCUCUUCCUACCAGACUGAGUUCCUUGAAGCCAACAGCUCCAUCCUGUGGUCCCGGUACCUGGCAUGGGGGGGCGGGGGGUUGGCUGGCAGCUAGUUGCCCCUUAUUAAGGGCUUUGGGGAUGGAUGGGUCAAUGAGGCGCGAGGGGGCAGCCGGAGGAGAAAAGAGAACAAGAAGCUUGAGAGGAGGCAGAAGGCAGAUACCAACCAUUCACAGGUUUGCUCCCGCUAGACCCCCUGGCUUUGGCGGCUGACACACCCGGUUAUCCCGAAAUGCAGUCUGCUUUUGCCCCCCAGAGGCCGGGGGGGGGUGCCUGUGGUCUUCUCGCCUUCCUGUAUUACCCAAGAGGCACAAGUGAGCCCAAACCUUCAGAGUGCUGCCUGUGGCCACAGCCGGCUGGAGAAGACCCCUGCCCUCCUCCCCCCCCCCUCGGUGACCAUUCCCCCCUCCCCGUGUCUCUGAGAGCCAGGCCCCCCACCCAAGCCCUGUGCUGGUUGACUGUAAGGCAAAGUGGGGAAAGCAAAUCCCAACAAGGCUCACCGCUGCUUCCUGCACCACUUGUGCAUCCGGCAGCAUGAGCCACCCCAGGCGCCGCGAAAAGGAUUCCAGGGACGCAGCGUUGUCGGUGCCCUUGGCCUUUGGGGGUAGCUGGGCUGAGCCCGGGGCAGCUCUGGUCACAAGAAGCCUCUUCCUUCUUAUCCCCGUGUGCUAGACAAAUAUUUUCUGUGCGUGCCGUGACGUGAAAAAGGUUGAUCAAUCCUGUUCAAUGCUAUCUAGUAGUUCUGGUCAGGUACCGGGGCGCCUGGGUGGCUCAGUUAAGCAUCUGACUCUUCGUUUCGGCUCAGGUCACCAUCUCACGGUUCCAUGAGCUCAAGCCCCGCGUCAGGCUCUGCGCUGACAGCUCAGCUUGGAGCCUGCUUCGCAUUCUGUGUCUCCCUCUCUCUCUGCCCCUCCCCUGUGCGCUCUCUCUUGAAAAUAAAUAAACAUUAAAUUUUUUUUUUUUUAAAGCUUUUUCUCCUGUCUUAAAAUACGGCAGGGGCUUUUUUUUUUUUUUUUUUUUUUAAUCCCCACUUUACAGGGGAAGAAACCAAGGCGCAGCAAGGUCAAAAGACCUACCUGCCACAGCGCUGUCACAGACAAAUCUGGCAAGGGUAACUGGCUUCCUAAGAACGGGAAAUCGAGAAAGCCCAGCCUCUGGGAGGGCAACCGGCUGAGGGACAAGCCCUCUGAGGCUGUCCGGCCACCAGUGCAUUUACACUGUGCCCACAAGGGGUCAGUAGGUUCCGUGGGAGCCGAGGCCCACAGAAUGGAAGGUGGAGCCAUCCCCCCAUCGCAGCCCCGCCUCCAGGCUGCACCGCUGCUGCCUCGAAGGAACGUCCUGGAAGUGCCUCCUCCCCGACACGCCUGGGGUUGUGACUGGCCAAUGGCGUGCUUACCCCAGGAAGGCUGGGGAAGUUCCCACGGGCCACGCCUUUGCUUCUGGCCAGUCCUCCGGAUGCCAGCAGUCCUCUGUGCUGGGCAGUGCCUGUAGCCGAGGCAGCUGGCACAUACGCCCCCUGCCCGAAGGGCCGCAGCCGUUUCCACGGGAAUAACUGGAACCAAAAAUAUCACAGGGCUGGGUCUGUCCGGCCAGAACCUUCCCGGGUGGGGGAGGUCGAGAGCGGGAGAGACUUGAAGAACCAUAUGUAACGUAGCACGUCCAAGAUUUGGAGCCAGACCUGGGUUUGGAUCCCGACUCUUCCUCUUUCUAUCAACCGUGACCUUGGACGGGUUACUUCGCUUCCCUAUGGGUCAGUCUCCUAAUUGGUAGAACAAGGAAGAAAAACGCCUUUCAGGAUGAUUCUGAGGACCUCUUCACUCCUUUGACAAAUACUGCCAAGCUUCACCUAGGCUAGCCACUAGCUUCAGGGCAUGUGACGCCGCUUGGAUUCAGUGCCUGGCACAUAGCAAGUGUUGAAUCACGGAUACCUUCUCUUUGAAGGUCAGGCCAUGAAUCUGGACUCGAAAUAGGCAGUUGGAGGCAUGCCGAACGGAAGCAGGAGGAAAAACCACUGGGGGAAGGCUCCACUCAUAUCUGCACAGUGUGGAGGUGGGGUUGAAAAAUGCCAGCCUGGGGGCCCCUGGGUGGCUCCGUCGGUUGAGCAUCCGACUUCGGCUCUGGUCGUGAUCUCACCGUUUGUGAGUUCAAGUCCCACCCUUUAAAAUCAACAAUAACAACAAUGAAUCGAAGCCUGAUUAAGAGCAUUUACCGAUCUCUGCAUUAUGAGUACCCAGCGCAUGGCUGAUUGCAAGUCCCCAGCCUCACCGUGACAUUGGGAAGAGAUGUGCAACUGCCCACUGUCAUACGGUAUUUCAGCCGCCCGGAUGUGGGAGAUUGUCACCUCACGUGUACGGGUCACAGUAAAAUAGAGUAAAAAUGGUUAGGGAGUGAUGAGUUUGUGGCUAUUUAUUACCUAGUUUUUAAUUUUUUUUUAACGUUUUUAUUUAUUUUUUGAGACAGAGAGAGACAGAGCAUGAGCAGGGGAGGGGCAGAGAGAGAGGGAGACACAGCAUCGGAAGCAGGCUCCAGGCUCUGAGCCAUCAGCCCAGAGCCCGACGCGGGGCUCGAACUCACAGACCGCGAGAUCGUGACCCGAGCUGAAGUCGGACGCUUAACCGACCGAGCCCCCCAGGCGCCCCUAUUACCUAUAUUUCUUUAUAACCUUAACAACCAGCUCACAUUUGUGACAAGGUGGCAUUUGGCUCUCAUGGGCCAGGAGGAGCCAGCUCCCUGGGCCUGGCUAGAUUUCCAGGUCCUGAAUGACCCUCAUCCCUUCUCCCACUCCCCUCUGCCAUUAAUUCGAGGACCUCCCAGCCCACCGCCACUGCUGGGGAGCUCCUGGGUUCCAGAGCUAACCCUAGCGGCCACCUUGAAUGAAGGCACUGGAGAGAGUGACAACGGUGGCUUUUCCAUGGCUGGGUGGCCUCUCUGCCUGGAAAAAAAAAAAAAAAGCAGAGGUGGAAGACAGCCAGGGACACUCACGGUGACUCCGGAAGGCACAUCUGGCAAGCACUCAAGACUAAGAGGAAAAGGAGGGAUGAAGCGGUGAGGGCAGGGGAGCUCGGGCUCAGCCCUCUGUCCAUUUGGCUCUACUCCUAGGCUGUAAUUUAUUGCUGAAGACUUUCCAGAAAGGCUGGUGACGCUGGAGACGAGGCGACGCCGGGGGGGGGGGGGGGGGGGGGCAACCCUUCCCUCCUGCCUCCAGGAUGUCAGCCAGAGCCUGCGGGUGGUCUCCUGUCUGCUCUUGGAGUCUACAUCCGGGACCCAUUCGUCUUUCGGCAGGAGACGGUGGCAGUGACUUUGGGGCUGUUGUGGAAUAUGACUCCCUCUGGGGAAAGCCCGCCCUGCGUUCUGGGCCAUCCUCUGCGCGCUGGCCACGGAUCAACCCUGUUUCUUUCCAGGUGCCUCUGCUCUCCAGGCCACCGCCCAGGCAACUUAUCAGGUCCAACGGCUCUGUACAGUUGGGCCAUGCUGGGAUGAACCGCGCGAAUGGGGACCCUGUGUUUGCACCUAGGCUGGCAGCUGCCCAAGGGCCCGGGCCCCAGCCCCACCCCGCCCCGCGCUCAGUACAAGGACCAGCCCGCGGGGACCGAAUGAAUCAAUGAGUACAAGCCUGGCGGACAUUCAAGAUUUCUCCCUGGUGAAACAGAAGCACAGUGUGGAGGCCUGUGUGGAAACACUCAUUUUCCCAGCGUGUACAAGGAGCGUCCUUGAUUGUUGCGGACGCUUGGUGGCAGGGGCGGGGAGGGCAAACCCCGCCCCCGCCCCCACGCACACACAGGUUCUCACCGGCUAGCUGUUCUGUAACCGGGAAGUUCAGAUGCCAACUGUUUUCCUUCCAGCCUAACAGGAAAGUCACCUUCACCCCCACCUCCCCGUGUGCGGCUCCCCCCGCCCCCCACCAAGGAAGCUGCUGGCCGAAGUCCUGACUGGGAGCGAUUGCUCCUUCUUGGCACCGGCCCGAGAACAUCCUGUGCAUCGGAGAGGCCGGGUGCCGCCAUUCCCUGUCCUACGCGGGAUGGGAAGUGACCAGAGGGAGGACGCCGACAUCGCCGGCUCAGUACACUCGCAGCGGGGAGGGAUCCAACUGGACAGGUUUACAAGCGGUCCGCUCCACGCCCAGCACCCCCUCCCCCGUGCCCUGGCCAGCACGCGCACCGGCAUCCACACGCGUCCUCCAGCAAACGCCUUCGGACAACCCCGUUCGCAGGCUGACAAGGGGGCAUCGUAAAGUCCCUGCUCAGGGAGGGUCCAUGCCUGUCCUCUCCAAGGAGCACAUCCACACCUUCUGUUAACGUGCCCUGGGAUGCCGGCCCCUACCAGACUUCGCUCCUGUGCUCCAGACCCCCCAGUCCACGUGGCACCUGGAUGCCCCACAGGCGGUUGACAUUUCACGUGGCCUACGCUUAUCGUCCUCUCCUUCCCCCUCAAGCCCACAGUCCGUCCUGUCCCACGAUCCCUUCCUCAAGAAAUAGCAC